UGAGUCAGUUGUUCGCUGUAUUUUGUGUAAGGCAGUCGAAUAUAGUUUUUGGCAAGAGCUAAAAGUCGUUUUCUUUAGUAACGUUAUAACCAAUACUCAAUGGACCUUGGGUACAACAUUGGUGCCACUUCACUACAGAGUCUAAGAAGCUUAUAGAAGAAUCAGAAAAGUAGUUUAGGAGAUGGUUCUGCAACGUUGAUAAGAUUCGGAUUCAUUCUUAUGUAUAGGCGAGCUUCUAGCGCACCCUGACGUUAGAAGAACUUGAUGCGCACUGAAAUCAACGAUUUUCGACCGGAGCACAACCCCGGAGCGCUUUUCCAACUCCGCCCCGCGAUUAGUCUCCCACCAAGUCCUUCUAAGCCCAAGCGACCAAUGCUGAAUUAGAAUCCGGGACGUAGACGCCCAAUGGUUUCAGUUAUCUAACACCUGAUACCUGAAAGCUCGAUGAUUGGGUUAGAUUCAACGUGAAAUUGCGUUGGGAACUUGCGCAAAAGAGCUUUUUUUUUGAUGAAUUGAAAUCAAUGGGUUUUGAUUACAUAAGAAUUUUUUUUUGACAAACUUAAAAAAAAGUAAAAAAGGUGUUUUGAAGUUGAGUCAAGAAAAUUUGCACAAUAAAAUUGAUUUUUAUACCACGA
Non-coding RNA from Onthophagus taurus, 635 nucleotides. The record is from RefSeq and is a predicted model, not a curated record. Lineage: Eukaryota; Metazoa; Arthropoda; Insecta; Coleoptera; Scarabaeidae.